GAAUUCCAUUAUAAUUCUCUCAUUUUGGGUUGUUGAAGGCUAGAAGCUUUUCAAGUUGGUGAAUUUUUCCGGCGAGGUCUUAUAACUGAAAAGGGUCAUUUUCAAUUUGUUUUCCACAACAAUAGCCCUCCAUUAAACCCAAUUUUCAGAAGCUCAUAACCAGUACGAUCAAGAACCCCCAUUUCCAUGUCUCUUUGAAAUUCAUAAUCUAACAUCGGGUGUGUGUUUUCUUGGAUCCAACACCAAGACUGUAAUGGCGUCGUCCAGUGGUUAAGACUUCCGUCUCUUCUUGUGCCGUCAUUACCAAAAUCACGUCCUGUCGUCCAACAACUUCCUUGACCCUCUCUCUCUCUUAUUAUCUUCAUUUUGUUUCUCAAGUGUUUGAUGUAUCAAGCUUCUUGAUUUUACUACCCAGGUUUCAAUUCUUU
This 428-nucleotide long non-coding RNA is filed under the name Gossypium barbadense (sea-island cotton). Its description in RNAcentral is "long non-coding RNA (GBAR_LNC007553)". Lineage: Eukaryota; Viridiplantae; Streptophyta; Magnoliopsida; Malvales; Malvaceae. The record is from RNAcentral.